This is a non-coding RNA of Kogia breviceps (pygmy sperm whale), 538 nucleotides long. The record is from RefSeq and is a predicted model, not a curated record. Lineage: Eukaryota; Metazoa; Chordata; Mammalia; Artiodactyla; Physeteridae.
ACCCCAGCUUUGACCUCUGGCUGGGUUUCAGGCUCUCGGCUGGGAGUCACACAGUGUGGACAGCAGUGCGGACAGCCGGAGAGGCCGGGAGGGCUAACCCGCCCUGGAAGUCCGUGGAUGGCAUCGCUAGUCUUGCUUUUGCCAAAGGGGAAGAUCAGAACCUCUUCUGAGAUCCAAGCCCGGUGCCUUUUGGCUCCAAGGGUGUGUCUGCAGGUGGCCGUCCUUCCUGCCUUCCCUCCCGCUGGGGGCCCCCCUGCGCUCCCAGCAUUUCCCUGGAUGUCCAGCAGGGGACACUCACCCAUUAAACCAGGGACAGGGCUGUGCUCUGGGAAUCCUUCCCCAGGAAAGAGGGAUCCUGGCAAGUUCCUGGUGCAUAUUCCUUGGUUACACAUCAGCCUCUUCACCUUGACUUUUCUCAGCCUCAGAGUUUUGGGCCAAAUCCUGGGGAGUUUGCAAAAUUGUGUUUUCGUUUUCAGCUCCCAGAGUUUCACUGCUUAUUAAAAAGUGAUGAGAAACGAUCAUAUGAAAGUCCCUUCCC